Molecule: non-coding RNA, 30 nt
Filed under: Rattus norvegicus (Norway rat)
Lineage: Eukaryota; Metazoa; Chordata; Mammalia; Rodentia; Muridae
Source: RNAcentral
UAUGUGUGAUGCAUGGUGUCUGCUAGCGUU